This 2098-nucleotide long non-coding RNA is filed under the name Homo sapiens (human). Lineage: Eukaryota; Metazoa; Chordata; Mammalia; Primates; Hominidae. The record is from RNAcentral.
GUAUUCUGCACGGACUGCUGGGCAGCACUAGCACUCUGGAGAAGGUCUGCCGCUGUCUGCACUUUCCUGGUGAGAAUCCCCAAUGACAGUCCCACUUUUCAGUGGAGGAGAACAAAAUAUCUGUCUACUCUCUUGAAGAAGGACACGGCUUUGAUCAUAUUUGUUCAGGCUUGACUUGGCCGGAGGUUUUAGGUUCUUAGUCUCAAGUCAGCAGUCUCUCUCUCUCUCUCUCUCUCUCUCUCUCUCUCUCUCUCUGAAACACACACACACAGAGACGCACACACACACAAGCACACACAUACACAAGCGCAAAUCCUCUCUUUCUCUUUCUCUCAUUUCCCGUCAUAGGUUCUAUGCAGGCAGAUGAGUGUCACAGCUGUAACUGAGGCACAGAGCAGUACACACAGUGGAGCCGAUUUCCGCGAUGGCGAGAGGGGGCACCGGAGGUGACAACAAUAACAAGACUGUCCUUCGGACAAGUUUUAGAUUCUCAGGAUGAUGGAGUGAGUGAUGGAAUAGGUUGCCAACUGUAGUUACUCCACUCAGCACAGAAUGGCUGCGGGGAAAUAUAAUCAGACAUGCCCAAAGAAGUCUGCUUAGGGUGAAACAAAUACCUUUGAGGUUUAAAUCAGAAAGGAAGGAGAGACUGUUUCUACAGGUGUCAUACAAAAAUCAAUACUGAGCCAAGGAUUAUUGGAUCCCAUAGAACCACGGAGACUUGGUAGUGAAAUUCUUCCAAAGCAUUCCAUCCGUGCAGGCAGAUGGUGUUCCUAGGUUUGGAAAUAUAAAUCCCAUGGGAAGUCAGCUGAAGACCAUUUUAUGCAUCACUCAUCCUGUUAGAGCCCUGUGCUGUUCUGUCUCUCUAUAAGACUGGCUGAAACCACCACGGUUGUUUACAAUUUAUGCUCUAACUUUGGAUCACCUAGUUAAUACUCUAACUCCGAUUAUUACCAAAGACAAUGUUCUAUAAAAGAUAUUGUCUAUUAGAAGGAUGCUUCUGCAUUAUUAAUAAAAUCACAGGGAAAAUGCAACAUUUUGGAUGUCACAUCUGAUAAGUUGGCAGUUAAAGAACAGAAACAGCAAUAAGACUGCGUGGCUACAUUUUCCCAGUGCCACCAACUGGGAUUUAAGCUGACUAACAUUUUGAAAGCCCAGCCCAUUUCAUUCACAGCAGGAUGGCAGUGGGUGACUGAUCGUACCCGCCAGCUGGCUAAUGUCAUAAUUAACAAAGUUGCUACUACAUCUGCAAAGUUUAAUCGAAAAAUUUGCCAGUGAUAUGAUGGCCUUGUCACAGAGAUCACAAGGGACACGGAGUUGACUUUUGCUCAAGGUGGAACGACAGAGCUGUGUAGGCAAGAUGAGAAAUUGCGAACUUGUUCGGCCAAAGGAGGCUAAUAAUGAAGGGGCCGGGAAGGAGGCCAGUGCUACCAGGGUUAUCUCACAACCUCAGAUGCUGGAUAAGUCGACGGAGGCAGAAUCGCUUUGGGAUGACAUUCAGAAAGCCUGGAGUGAUUACUUGCAAGAGAAAAGCCUACCUAUUCUUUCCAAGGUGCAGGAAUAUUCCCCUGACCUGCUCAUCCAGUGGUCCAGUAAUGAAUUACUGGAGACCUGCCUUAGACAAAGAAUGCACUCGGAGCCCCAACACACCUAAAGCCAUGCUUUGAAGGAUCUGCCAAGCUCACUUUUAAUCAUGAGAAAGAAAUUACCCACACGGAGUCAGCAGAAAAUGAGAAAGUAGAGCUCGUGCUGUGAAUAAUUCCAGCAAGUGCCAAGGGGCUAGUUGAGGAAUGGCUUCAUGAGAUGUUAGUCUAAAACAGCACCUUGGAUCUAAGCAGCACCUUUGAGAAAGAAAAGACUGCUUCAAGAAUGUCUAGUUGCACCUCCUUUCCGUAUGUGGCCUAAAUGCCUAGGUUGGAUCAAUAGUUUAAUUUUUUUAUUGAACUGUUUAAUAUUGACUAUGGACUUACAUUCACUUUUACUGUUUUCUGUAUAUUUACUUUUGCUUGAAGUGUUUUAAUAUUGACUAUUUACCUCUGCUCAUUUUUAUUGAUUUUCUGUAUUUUUUCAAUGAAAAUUAUAAUAAAAAUUAUUUUUGUUA